RNAcentral lists this ribosomal RNA (584 nucleotides) under uncultured Flavobacteriales bacterium. RNAcentral describes it as "bacterial SSU rRNA". It matches the Rfam family "Bacterial small subunit ribosomal RNA", at positions 338 to 916 of the family's 1533-position model. The record is from RNAcentral. Lineage: Bacteria; Pseudomonadati; Bacteroidota; Flavobacteriia; Flavobacteriales.
CCUACGGGAGGCAGCAGUAAGGAAUAUUGGACAAUGGAGGCAACUCUGAUCCAGCCAUGCCGCGUGAAGGAAGACGGCCUUAUGGGUUGUAAACUUCUUUUAUACAGGAAGAAACCUUUCCACGUGUGGAAAGUUGACGGUACUGUAAGAAUAAGGAUCGGCUAACUCCGUGCCAGCAGCCGCGGUAAUACGGAGGAUCCAAGCGUUAUCCGGAAUUAUUGGGUUUAAAGGGUCCGCAGGCUGUUUGUUAAGUCAGAGGUGAAAUCCUACCGCUCAACGGUAGAACUGCCUUUGAUACUGGCAAACUUGAGUUAUUGUGAAGUAGUUAGAAUGUGUAGUGUAGCGGUGAAAUGCAUAGAUAUUACACAGAAUACCGAUUGCGAAAGCAGAUUACUAACAAUAUACUGACGCUGAGGGACGAAAGCGUGGGUAGCGAACAGGAUUAGAUACCCUGGUAGUCCACGCCGUAAACGAUGGUCACUAGCUGUUCGAUGUACAUUGGUACGUUGAGUGGCUAAGCGAAAGUGAUAAGUGACCCACCUGGGGAGUACGCUCGCAAGAGUGAAACUCAAAGGAAUUGACGG